UUAGUCAGGACCUAAGCCGAGGCCGACAGGCGUAGGCGAUGGACAACAGGUUGAUAUUCCUGUACCACCUCUUUAUCGUUUGAGCAAUGGAGGGACGCAGAAGGAUAGAAGAAGCGUGCGAUUGGUUGUGCACGUCCAAGCAGUUAGGCUGAUAAGUAGGCAAAUCCGCUUAUCAUAAAGGCUGAGCUGUGAUGGGGAAGCUCCUUAUGGAGCGAAGUCUUUGAUUCCCCGCUGCCAAGAAAAGCUUCUAGCGAGAUAAAAGGUGCCUGUACCGCAAACCGACACAGGUAGGCGAGGAGAGAAUCCUAAGGUGUGCGAGAGAACUCUGGUUAAGGAACUCGGCAAAAUGACCCCGUAACUUCGGGAGAAGGGGUGCUUUCUUAACGGAAAGCCGCAGUGAAUAGGCCCAAGCGACUGUUUAGCAAAAACACAGCUCUCUGCGAAGCCGUAAGGCGAAGUAUAGGGGGUGACACCUGCCCGGUGCUGGAAGGUUAAGGAGAGGGGUUAGCGUAAGCGAAGCUCUGAACUGAACCCCCAGCAAACGGCGGC
RNAcentral lists this ribosomal RNA (549 nucleotides) under Salmonella enterica subsp. enterica serovar Derby. Its description in RNAcentral is "partial 23S ribosomal RNA". It matches the Rfam family "Bacterial large subunit ribosomal RNA", at positions 1380 to 1934 of the family's 2925-position model. The record is from RNAcentral. Lineage: Bacteria; Pseudomonadati; Pseudomonadota; Gammaproteobacteria; Enterobacterales; Enterobacteriaceae.